This 575-nucleotide ribosomal RNA is filed under the name uncultured Bacilli bacterium. RNAcentral's name for it is "bacterial SSU rRNA". It matches the Rfam family "Bacterial small subunit ribosomal RNA", at positions 154 to 717 of the family's 1533-position model. Lineage: Bacteria; Bacillati; Bacillota; Bacilli. The record is from RNAcentral.
AAACGAUAGCUAAUACCGCAUAACAGUAGAUGUUGCAUGACAUUUGCUUAAAAGGUGCAAUUGCAUCACUACCAGAUGGACCUGCGUUGUAUUAGCUAGUUGGUGGGGUAACGGCUCACCAAGGCGACGAUACAUAGCCGACCUGAGAGGGUGAUCGGCCACACUGGGACUGAGACACGGCCCAGACUCCUACGGGAGGCAGCAGUAGGGAAUCUUCGGCAAUGGACGGAAGUCUGACCGAGCAACGCCGCGUGAGUGAAGAAGGUUUUCGGAUCGUAAAGCUCUGUUGUAAGAGAAGAACGAGUGUGAGAGUGGAAAGUUCACACUGUGACGGUAUCUUACCAGAAAGGGACGGCUAACUACGUGCCAGCAGCCGCGGUAAUACGUAGGUCCCGAGCGUUGUCCGGAUUUAUUGGGCGUAAAGCGAGCGCAGGCGGUUAGAUAAGUCUGAAGUUAAAGGCUGUGGCUUAACCAUAGUACGCUUUGGAAACUGUUUAACUUGAGUGCAAGAGGGGAGAGUGGAAUUCCAUGUGUAGCGGUGAAAUGCGUAGAUAUAUGGAGGAACACCGGUGGCG